RNAcentral lists this ribosomal RNA (397 nucleotides) under uncultured bacterium. RNAcentral describes it as "partial 16S ribosomal RNA". It matches the Rfam family "Bacterial small subunit ribosomal RNA", at positions 523 to 918 of the family's 1533-position model. The record is from RNAcentral.
AUACGUAGGGGGCGAGCGUUGUCCGGAAUGAUUGGGCGUAAAGGGCGCGUAGGCGGCGCGGUAAGUCUGGAGUGAAAGUCCUGCUUUCAAGGUGGGGAUUGCUUUGGAUACUGCCGCGCUUGAGUGCAGGAGAGGUUAUCGGAAUUCCCGGUGUAGCGGUGAAAUGCGUAGAGAUCGGGAGGAACACCAGUGGCGAAGGCGGGUAACUGGACUGCAACUGACGCUGAGGCGCGAAAGUGUGGGGAGCAAACAGGAUUAGAUACCCUGGUAGUCCACGCGGUAAACGAUGAAUGCUAGGUGUUGCGGGUAUCGACCCCUGCAGUGCCGGAGUAAACACAAUAAGCAUUCCGCCUGGGGAGUACGGCCGCAAGGUUGAAACUCAAAUGAAUUGACGGGG